AUGGCAAUGCUAGCUAAGCAGGCAUGGCGCCUUGUCCAACAACCAGAGAGCCUUUGUGCACGGCUGCUGAAGAGCAUAUAUUACCCGGGGGGUCAGUUUUUGAACUCUGAUUUGGGAUCUCAUCCUAGCCAGGGACUAAUCCAACGCAUAGGUAAUGGUCAAUCAACCAGAAUUUGGGAGGAUAAUUGUAUCCCGAGAGAGGAGAUGAUGAGACCGUAUGGACACCUCCAGCCAAACCCACCGGUCUAUGUGUCCGAGUUAAUAGAUCAAACUUAAGCUUCUUGGGACAAACAGCGGGUGCAUGCAACGUUCCUGCCCAUGGAUGCAAGGUGCAUACUCGGCAUCCCUUUGUGCACAAAAAACAUAGAAGAUUUCUGGAGCUGGAGCCAUGAGAGAUCGGGGUUUUUCUCGGUCAAAAGUGCAUACCGGAUGCUUGUGAGUACUAGGGCAAGAAGGGAAGCGUGGCUGGAAACAAGAGCGGGAUCAUCCAGUACGUCACAGGAGGAGGGGGCAUGGAAAACUCUCUGGAAAGUGCAAGUGCCUGCGAAAAUUCGAAUGUUUCUGUGGAGACUGUCAAAACAUUCCAUUCCCACGAAUGAUGUCCGUGAGCAUCGACACAUGACUGAUUCCAGCUCAUGUGGUAUGUGCGGUCAGCCGGACUCGUGGAGACAUUCUCUGCUGCAGUGCACUAUGUCACGGUAUAUAUGGGCUCUAGUAGAUGAGGACCUCUCUCAGCAGCUAGUAGCUGUAACGGAACCAAGCGCGAAGCAGUGGUUGUUCACUCUCAUGGAGUUGUUAACCCAUGAUCAGUUCGUUAAACUCACUGUUUCGUUGUGGGCAAUUUGGUCAUCGCGGCGCAAAGCUAUUCACGAAGGAAUAUUUCAGAGCCCACAAAGCACACAUGCGUUCAUCUGUAGGUUCAUACAAGAGCUUGAACUGGUUCAAGAACCAGGCAGAGCGCCUCAAGGCGAGGAGCGGGUGCAGUCCAACAAAACCAACGACCAAAAGCUCCUCCACCGGGUGUAG
RNAcentral lists this ribosomal RNA (1026 nucleotides) under Triticum aestivum (bread wheat). RNAcentral describes it as "partial small subunit ribosomal RNA". Lineage: Eukaryota; Viridiplantae; Streptophyta; Magnoliopsida; Poales; Poaceae. The record is from RNAcentral.